CCUACGGGUGGCUGCAGUGGGGAAUAUUGGACAAUGGGGGCAACCCUGAUCCAGCCAUGCCGCGUGUGUGAAGAAGGCCCUCGGGUUGUAAAGCACUUUCAGUGAGGAAGAACGCCUGGUGGUUAAUACCCAUCAGGAAAGACAUCACUCACAGAAGAAGCACCGGCUAACUCCGUGCCAGCAGCCGCGGUAAUACGGAGGGUGCGAGCGUUAAUCGGAAUUACUGGGCGUAAAGCGCGCGUAGGUGGCUUGAUAAGCCGGUUGUGAAAGCCCCGGGCUCAACCUGGGAACGGCAUCCGGAACUGUCAAGCUAGAGUGCAGGAGAGGAAGGUAGAAUUCCCGGUGUAGCGGUGAAAUGCGUAGAGAUCGGGAGGAAUACCUGUGGCGAAGGCGGCCUUCUGGACUGACACUGACACUGAGGUGCGAAAGCGUGGGUAGCAAACAGGAUUAGAUACCCCAGUAGUC
This 465-nucleotide ribosomal RNA is filed under the name Vreelandella stevensii. Its description in RNAcentral is "partial 16S ribosomal RNA". It matches the Rfam family "Bacterial small subunit ribosomal RNA", at positions 338 to 795 of the family's 1533-position model. Lineage: Bacteria; Pseudomonadati; Pseudomonadota; Gammaproteobacteria; Oceanospirillales; Halomonadaceae. The record is from RNAcentral.